UAGGGAAUCUUCCACAAUGGACGAAAGUCUGAUGGAGCAACGCCGCGUGAGUGAAGAAGGGUUUCGGCUCGUAAAGCUCUGUUGUUAAAGAAGAACACGUAUGAGAGUAACUGUUCAUACGUUGACGGUAUUUAACCAGAAAGUCACGGCUAACUACGUGCCA
Molecule: ribosomal RNA, 163 nt
Filed under: uncultured bacterium
Lineage: Bacteria
Description: partial 16S ribosomal RNA
Rfam family: Bacterial small subunit ribosomal RNA
Source: RNAcentral